Molecule: ribosomal RNA, 487 nt
Filed under: uncultured bacterium
Lineage: Bacteria
Description: bacterial SSU rRNA
Rfam family: Bacterial small subunit ribosomal RNA
Source: RNAcentral
AACAAACGCUGGCGGCGUGCCUAACACAUGCAAGUCGAGCGGAGUCGAUCGACGGAAGCCUUCGGGCGGAAGAUGGUUGACUUAGCGGCGGAUGGGGUGAGUAACGCGUGGGGCAACCUGCCUCGAAGACCGGGAUAACAGCCCGAAAGGGCUGCUAAUACCGGAUGUGGUCAAGGAUCCGCAUGGAUUUUUGAUUAAAGGGGAAACCCGUUUCGAGAUGGGCCCGCGUCCUAUCAGCUAGUUGGUGAGGUAAAAGCUCACCAAGGCGACGACGGGUAGCCGGACCUGAGAGGGUGACCGGCCACACUGGAACUGAGACACGGUCCAGACUCCUACGGGGGGCAGCAGUGGGGAAUCUUCCACAAUGGGCGAAAGCCUGAUGGGAGCGACGCCGCGUGAGCGAAGAAGGCCUUCGGGUUGUAAAGCUCUGUCUGGAGGGACGAAGGAAGUGACGGUACCUCGGACGGAAGCCACGGCAACUACGUAG